Molecule: long non-coding RNA, 1104 nt
Filed under: Cyanistes caeruleus (blue tit)
Lineage: Eukaryota; Metazoa; Chordata; Aves; Passeriformes; Paridae
Description: lncRNA (ENSCCEG00000016141.1)
Source: RNAcentral
ACAGAGGAGGAGUGUAGAUUUGGCACUUGAGUGCAAACACUGGGUCCCUGCUGUGCCACAUCUCUGGUUGCCUUAGCCUUAAAUAUUUCGGUUAUUCAUCUAGGAGUACAUGUUCUGAAAUACAUAAUUGUUGGGCUCUUCCAGAAGCUCUUCAAGUGCAGAAUGCCUUGGGCCUUCCUCCCAGACAGCUUCCACCUGCAGGAAAAGGCAGCCUUGUCUCUAAAUGCCUCAUUUUCAGCUGCCACCAACUGUUUAUCUCUGCAAAGGAAGCAGCCAGGGCCAUUUUUCUUCCUGCUUUGCUGUAGGUUCUUUAGAGCAAGAAGUUGUUGAGCAUGAAGGCAGCACGGACCCUGGCCAUGCUCUGUGCAUGCUGCAGCAAUGUGAAUAUCCCUUUGACUGUGACCCUGCCAUUUUAGUCAUGGUCUCUCUGGGGUACAUCAUGCCUAACUUCUCCCACUGUACAUCCCUGAGAGCAGAGGAAGUGCUGGCCUCCGAGGCGGCAACUGGGGUGAGUGCAGUCCUUUGUUUUUACCGGAUAUUUCCAGGGCAGCACAGAAAAAGCAAUCACAUCUGGGACCACCUCAAGGGGCUGCUGGCAAAAAUCCAGAGGCUCCACAGCAGAAGCAGCAGAUUGCGGAUUUCGAUGCCUUGGGCAGGAUGUCUGUUUCCACAAUGGCUGGGGAAGGAAGCAAUAUAAAGGGAGAUGGUCUGAUAAGAGCACAGCUAUGAUAAAAAGGCUCUGUUCAGUACUAAUUUCUUCCAGCAAAAAGAAAGGUACUCACAGUCACUGGGUUACAGACAUCAGUCUCUUGCCUCAGUGAAAAGGGAACUGGUUAAUCCUGAGGCAAUAUUGAAUACUAGAUUUUAAAACAAGUACAAAAAUAGACAGAGAGCAGAACAGAUGUGACUGACAGUGGGUUCUCCUCAUUCAUCCUGCAGUUUUGCAGAAAGUUGUUAAACUAAUUUCUUCAUCAAUUUCAAUGCUGGUGGCUCUGUCCUGCUUUGUCACCGACAGAAGAAAAUUAGCAGCCACAAAGUGAAGCUCUGUGCUUUGUGAAAUCAAGCAUCAUUUCCACAAUAAAAACUAGCAGGCUUUAACUUACA